RNAcentral lists this ribosomal RNA (1073 nucleotides) under fungal endophyte. Its description in RNAcentral is "eukaryotic LSU rRNA". The stretch from base 488 to 1073 matches the Rfam family "Eukaryotic large subunit ribosomal RNA", at positions 1 to 598 of the family's 3401-position model. The record is from RNAcentral. Lineage: Eukaryota; Fungi.
UGAGUUUACGCUCUAUAACCCUUUGUGAACAUACCUAUAACUGUUGCUUCGGCGGGUAGGGUCUCCGCGACCCUCCCGGCCUCCCGCCUCCGGGCGGGUCGGCGCCCGCCGGAGGAUAACCAAACUCUGAUUUAACGACGUUUCUUCUGAGUGGUACAAGCAAAUAAUCAAAACUUUUAACAACGGAUCUCUUGGUUCUGGCAUCGAUGAAGAACGCAGCGAAAUGCGAUAAGUAAUGUGAAUUGCAGAAUUCAGUGAAUCAUCGAAUCUUUGAACGCACAUUGCGCCCGCCAGCAUUCUGGCGGGCAUGCCUGUUCGAGCGUCAUUUCAACCCUCAAGCUCUGCUUGGUGUUGGGGCCCUACAGCUGAUGUAGGCCCUCAAAGGUAGUGGCGGACCCUCCCGGAGCCUCCUUUGCGUAGUAACUUUACGUCUCGCACUGGGAUCCGGAGGGACUCUUGCCGUAAAACCCCCCAAUUUUCCAAAGGUUGACCUCGGAUCAGGUAGGAAUACCCGCUGAACUUAAGCAUAUCAAUAAGCGGAGGAAAAGAAACCAACAGGGAUUGCCUCAGUAACGGCGAGUGAAGCGGCAACAGCUCAAAUUUGAAAUCUGGCCCUAGGCCCGAGUUGUAAUUUGCAGAGGAUGCUUUUGGUGCGGUGCCUUCCAAGUUCCCUAGAACGGGACGCCAGAGAGGGUGAGAGCCCCGUACAGUUGGACACCAAGCCUUUGUAAAGCUCCUUCGACGAGUCGAGUAGUUUGGGAAUGCUGCUCAAAAUGGGAGGUAUAUUUCUUCUAAAGCUAAAUACCGGCCAGAGACCGAUAGCGCACAAGUAGAGUGAUCGAAAGAUGAAAAGCACUUUGAAAAGAGGGUUAAACAGCACGUGAAAUUGUUAAAAGGGAAGCGCUUGUGACCAGACUUGCGUCCGGUGAAUCACCCAGCUCUCGCGGCUGGGGCACUUCGCCGGCUCAGGCCAGCAUCAGCUCGCUGUCGGGGACAAAAGCUUCAGGAACGUAGCUCUCUUCGGGGAGUGUUAUAGCCUGUUGCACAAUACCCUUCGGCGGGCUGAGGUACGC